Molecule: transfer RNA, 75 nt
Filed under: Candidatus Brocadiia bacterium
Lineage: Bacteria; Pseudomonadati; Planctomycetota; Candidatus Brocadiia
Description: tRNA-Gly
Rfam family: tRNA
About the family: Transfer RNA (tRNA) molecules are approximately 80 nucleotides in length. Their secondary structure includes four short double-helical elements and three loops (D, anti-codon, and T loops).
Source: RNAcentral
GCGGGCGUAGCUCAAUGGUAGAGCGCUGGCCUUCCAAGCCAGCUGUUGUGGGUUCGAGUCCCAUCGCCCGCUCCA